This 100-nucleotide non-coding RNA is filed under the name Clostridium cadaveris. RNAcentral describes it as "Bacterial large subunit ribosomal RNA". It matches the Rfam family "Bacterial large subunit ribosomal RNA", at positions 1 to 100 of the family's 2925-position model. Lineage: Bacteria; Bacillati; Bacillota; Clostridia; Eubacteriales; Clostridiaceae. The record is from Rfam by way of RNAcentral.
GAUUAAGUUAUAAAGGGCGCACGGCGAAUGCCUUGGCAUCAGGAGCCGAAGAAGGACGUGAUAAGCUGCGAUAAGCUUUGGGUAGCCGCAAAUAGGCAGA